RNAcentral lists this ribosomal RNA (897 nucleotides) under Metagonimoides sp. 1 SB-2020. Its description in RNAcentral is "partial large subunit ribosomal RNA". It matches the Rfam family "Eukaryotic large subunit ribosomal RNA", at positions 56 to 615 of the family's 3401-position model. The record is from RNAcentral. Lineage: Eukaryota; Metazoa; Platyhelminthes; Trematoda; Opisthorchiida; Heterophyidae.
GAAAAGAAACUAACAAGGAUUCCUUAGUAACGGCGAGUGAACAGGGAAAAGCCCAGCACCGAAGCCUGUGGCCAUUUGGUUAUUAGGGCAAUGUGGUGUUCAGGUCGUUCCGCGAAGGUACUGCUCCAUUCUAAGUCCAGCAAUGAGUACGGUAACGCUGACAUGGCCCAAAGAGGGUGAAAAGGCCCGUUGGGGUGGAGCACAGAGACGCCAGUGCCUUCCUGGAUAGACCUUGGAGUCGGGUUGUUUGUGAAUGCAGCCCAAAGUGGGUGGUAAACUCCAUCCAAGGCUAAAUACUAACACGAGUCCGAUAGCGAACAAGUACCGUGAGGGAAAGUUGAAAAGUACUUUGAAGAGAGAGUAAACAGUGCGUGAAACCGCUCAGAGGUAAACGGGUGGAGUUGAACUGUGAACUCUGUGGAUUUAGCUGGUGAGUGUGGUUUGAGCUUGGUCAAAUUGGUUGAUACUUGGGGUCUGCGUAGCAGCAGGUCUCCGCCUUUUGGUGGGGAUGCGCGAUACACUUAUCAAGUGUUGCGCGCCUCAGGUUUAUUCGGGCCAGCUUGCCAGUGCACUUUCGCAGAGUGGUCACCACGACCGGCAUUGCUGUCUGACUGUUGCGGUUAAACCGGCCUUGCAUCGCACUUGUGGCUUUGGAUUGUCGGGAUGGCAGGUAGCUCGUUGGCUUGCUUGUGGUUCGCCACAAGAUUCGGUCCUCGGGUGUAAUCAGCUGACCACAUCGGUUCUGUGCAGUAUGUCGGAGACGGCGGCUUGUGGUGUGUGCGUGCGUAUCAGUUGGCUGGCGUGUCCGAGUUUGGUUGUUAUGUUGCCUGUGUUUACAGGCCUGAUGAUGGCUCGGAUCCGUUUGGUCGGCGGUUGCGUGCGUGUCACUUAUCAGGG